Molecule: ribosomal RNA, 403 nt
Filed under: Fusobacteriota bacterium
Lineage: Bacteria; Fusobacteriati; Fusobacteriota
Description: Fusobacteria bacterium partial 16S ribosomal RNA
Rfam family: Bacterial small subunit ribosomal RNA
Source: RNAcentral
UGGGGAAUCUUGCUCAAUGGGGGAAACCCUGAUGCAGCGACGCCGCGUGAGCGAUGAAGGUUUUCGGAUCGUAAAGCUCUGUCCUAUGGGAAGAUAAUGACGGUACCAUGGGAGGAAGCCCCGGCUAACUACGUGCCAGCAGCCGCGGUAAUACGUAGGGGGCGAGCGUUGUCCGGAAUUACUGGGCGUAAAGGGUUCGCAGGCGGCAUGGCAAGUCCGAUGUAAAAGGCGAAGGCUCAACCUUCGUAAGCAUCGGAAACUGUCAAGCUUGAGUGAAGGAGAGGCAAGUGGAAUUCCUAGUGUAGCGGUGGAAUGCGUAGAUAUUAGGAGGAAUACCGGUGGCGAAGGCGACUUGCUGGACUUCAACUGACGCUGAGGAACGAAAGCGUGGGUAGCAAACAGG